CAGCCGCCACGGUAAUACGGAGGGAGCUAGCGUUAAUCGGAAUUACUGGGCGUAAAGCGUGCGCAGGCAGUUGUGUAAGACAGGUGUGAAAUCCCCGGGCUUAACCUGGGAACUGCGCUUGUGACUGCGCAGCUAGAGUAUGGCAGAGGGGAGUGGAAUUCCGCGUGUAGCAGUGAAGUGCGUAGAUAUGCGGAGGAACACCGAUGGCGAAGGCAGCCCCCUGGGCCAACACUGACGCUCAUGCACGAAAGCGUGGGGAGCAAACAGGAUUAGAUACCCGCGUAGUCCCUGUCUCUUAUAC
Molecule: ribosomal RNA, 301 nt
Filed under: uncultured bacterium
Lineage: Bacteria
Description: partial 16S ribosomal RNA
Rfam family: Bacterial small subunit ribosomal RNA
Source: RNAcentral